GUGCAGCAGGCGAGAAACCCUCCGCAAUGCGGGAAACCGCGACGGGGGACCCCGAGUGCCGUGGCAACGCCACGGCUUUUCCGGAGUGUAAAAAACGCUCCGGGAAUAAGGGCUGGGCAAGGCCGGUGGCAGCCGCCGCGGUAAUACCGGCGGCCCGAGUGGUGGCCGCUAUUAUUGGGCCUAAACGCGUCCGUAGCCGGGCCCGUAAGUCCCUGGCGAAACUCCCACGGCUCAACCCGUGGGGCUUGCUGGGGAUACUGCGGGUCUUGGGACCGGGAGAGGCGGGGGUACCCCGUGGGGUAGGGGUGAAAUCCUAUAAUCCCAGGGGACCGCCAGUGGCGAAGGCGCCCCGCUGGAACGGUCCGACGGUGAGGGACGAAGGCCAGGGGAGCAAAA
Molecule: ribosomal RNA, 396 nt
Filed under: uncultured microorganism
Description: bacterial SSU rRNA
Rfam family: Archaeal small subunit ribosomal RNA
Source: RNAcentral